AUUGAACGCUGGCGGCAUGCUUUACACAUGCAAGUCGAACGGCAGCACGGACUUCGGUCUGGUGGCGAGUGGCGAACGGGUGAGUAAUGUAUCGGAACGUGCCCAGUCGUGGGGGAUAACGUAGUGAAAAUUACGCUAAUACCGCAUACGAUCUAUGGAUGAAAGCGGGGGAUCGCAAGACCUCGCGCGAUUGGAGCGGCCGAUAUCAGAUUAGGUAGUUGGUGGGGUAAAGGCCCACCAAGCCAACGAUCUGUACCUGGUCUGAGAGGACGACCAGCCACACUGGAACUGAGACACGGUCCAGACUCCUACGGGAGGCAGCAGUGGGGAAUUUUGGACAAUGGGCGAAAGCCUGAUCCAGCCAUUCCGCGUGCAGGAUGAAGGCCCUCGGGUUGUAAACUGCUUUUGUACAGAACGAAAAGGUUUCUACUAAUACUAGGAGCUCAUGACGGUACUGUAAGAAUAAGCACCGGCUAACUACGUGCCAGCAGCCGCGGUAA
RNAcentral lists this ribosomal RNA (500 nucleotides) under uncultured bacterium. RNAcentral describes it as "partial 16S ribosomal RNA". It matches the Rfam family "Bacterial small subunit ribosomal RNA", at positions 30 to 523 of the family's 1533-position model. The record is from RNAcentral.